CUGAUGGUUCUUUUUUUGAUCCUCUCCCUUUACAUGGCACACCUUCCAUUUGUUUUUCAGAAUUUCAAUUGUAAACUUCAAAUUCUCCUCCUCAUCCUGCCUUUAUCUUAUUUACAUCCAGGAGAUUCUUGUGCUUCUCUGAGGGCUGACAUGCCCUGGCUUAAACUGGAGCUGCCCUGAGGAUGAUUUUAUAUUUAGUAGCAACUUAUGAGCUGCUCUCGUUUGAAGCAGCCCAGACUGCCUGAUACAAUAUUUACUGUGGAAAUCUCUCUCUUGCCUCUCCCAAUCGCAGUGUAAUGAUAUGGCUGAGCUUGAGAAGGGGCCAGGGCCUUACCCAAAGCAUGCCUGGGUAGCAGAGCCUUGCAGGGCACAGUUUCUAGCCCCUUUAUGCCAUCAGAGUAACCCACAAGAUCUGUGCUGAGGGACGAAAUUCUGUCCCACAAAAUCUGUUGCCGGGAGAGCACAGCUAUCAGCUUGUAUCAUUCAGAAUAUACCUGUAUAAAAGGCCUAACCAAGUGCAACCUCUGAUAUUCUCCCCUCAUAAUGUUGGGGUUUUUCUUCUGCAUUUAUUACAAGUUGGUCCCUUCUUAGAGUGGCAUAUUGAUUUGGAGGGCUUAAGAGUUCUUCUGCAGGAGCGAUAUGAAUGCAAAAUCACCUGGCUUCUCCCAUCCUUUGGGUGUCAGCUUUUUAAUAGGGAGCUUUCAGAAAUCCACCUCUCAGGUUUUAUACAAAGCUCCUGGCGUUAGCAUCCAGGUGCUCUGGUAUGACCAUUGCUCCCCAUGCCAAGUCCUUGUGAUAGCGAUGGGGUGGAGCUCUGACCUGCAGCUUUCCUCUUUCCAAUGGAAAAGUCAGCAGUGAAGGUUCACGGGACUGUGAAAGACCCACAGCUCUCCCUCCAAACACCCCACUGGGCUCCAGCCUGCAGGAGGCAGGUCAGUCCCUUUUAAAAUGGUCCCUAUUUCAAGCCUGCGAUGAUUUUAAGUGUGACAGCAUGUGGGUGGGAAGCAGUGUAUCAGAUGGAGCACUGUCUCAGCUCUCAGCAUCGUGAGCCUGCAGAAUAAAGAAAUGGCACAAUAUUGCCUCUGUGGAGAGCAGCCUUUCCUGGAACAUUUGACUGAAGCGGCAACGUGGUAACACAGACUCUGGUCUCUCUAGAUUGUGUUCCUGGAAAAGCUGUUCAAUUAUUGAUAAGGGUCGCACUGACAACACCAAAAGAUGAGGCUCUUGCUUGCCUUUAAUAAUUUCUUACUCAGCAGAUCUUUCACUUACAGCUCAGCAGAAUUGGCAUUGCAGACACAUCAGCUGAAAUACAAUAUGCAUGCUGGAAAGACAGGCGACUGCCCAGCUUUUUCAUUUGCAAACUAGAAAGGAAUAUAGAGCCGGCACCCCGGGUCGAUUCUGCUUUGCAAGAUGGUAACUGCCAUUAUGAAGCUGGCACUGCCAGGUCUUCUUUCCUGCUGAUAACGUUUCAUCCUUGUUCAUUGCUCAGAGCUGUUCUUGAGUUCUUCCUCUCCCACUUAUAUGCUGGAAAGGAGGAUCUCCCAAUAAAGCUCUUCUGGAGAAUCUGAAGCAUCUGUUGUGCAGAAUCAGCACUUUCAUUAGUCUUAAUGGAGCCUCUUCUUGCGGAAGACACUGGAGAGGCUUUGCAUGUAACUGAGGAAUUUCUAUUGCAGACCAUCAAGGAGAUAGACACCCCACACUGCCUGGUGCUUGUGAUUUGAAGUGAAAAAAAUACUGAUAAUGCGGUAUGAAUGCAGUGCUGUGUUUCUGAUACAGAUGGGCCCAACCCAAGAUCUUGUUUCCCUGAAUUUCUUAAAGUUCAAGGGAGGUUGGAGCCAAAGUGCUUAACUGAACAGUCUAAUUUUGUGUUUAGUUUUAUUUGUUAUGGAAGUGACAAAAUUGGCUUUAUGAAACAAAUGUUGCUUGCCGUACCAUUAAAUCAGUUUCUUCUCUUUUGCAA
Long non-coding RNA from Harpia harpyja (harpy eagle), 1960 nucleotides. RefSeq lists it as uncharacterized. The record is from RefSeq and is a predicted model, not a curated record. Lineage: Eukaryota; Metazoa; Chordata; Aves; Accipitriformes; Accipitridae. The transcript has 2 exons.